RNAcentral lists this ribosomal RNA (253 nucleotides) under uncultured bacterium. Its description in RNAcentral is "partial 16S ribosomal RNA". It matches the Rfam family "Bacterial small subunit ribosomal RNA", at positions 524 to 776 of the family's 1533-position model. The record is from RNAcentral.
UACGUAGGUGGCGAGCGUUGUCCGGAUUUACUGGGCGUAAAGGGAGCGUAGGCGGCCUUUUAAGUGAGAUGUGAAAUACCCGGGCUCAACUUGGGUGCUGCAUUUCAAACUGGAAGUCUAGAGUGCAGGAGAGGAGAAUGGAAUUCCUAGUGUAGCGGUGAAAUGCGUAGAGAUUAGGAAGAACACCAGUGGCGAAGGCGAUUCUCUGGACUGUAACUGACGCUGAGGCUCGAAAGCGUGGGGAGCAAACAGG